AUGUUCCAAAGUUUGGUCUCGCCGUCGUUCACUUGCGCUUCAUAUAGAGAAACAAUGGAGCACGGACGAGACGAGGAAGCAGAAGAGGUGUUGGGGGACAUAAUCUUAGCCGGAGGUGAUGUCUUGUCGUAUCUUAACGACAAUGAUGGUCUGGAAGAACAGGGUGAAGAAGUAGGCUACGGUGAUCGAAGAGUGGAGGAGGAAAGACAUGAUUAUGAUGGCUCCGGUGACCCAAUGCUGGUGCAAGAAGGAGCCCGUGGUGACGGUUCCGGUGAUCGAACAGAGUCCGGCCGGCCCUCCGGAUCGAGCACAACUUCGGUAAAGAGACGAGGCCCGAAGAGAAAGUUGCGCUCGGAUGAAAGGUUUGAGAUCACAGCAAUCGCGCGCGACGGCCAACCGAUUGAACCCAUCCGGACAAAGGAAGCAUUUGCUGCUCAGUGUGGGGUUCUUGUUAGGGACAAGUUCCCGAUCAGCAUCCACCAAUGGUAUAAGCCUAAGAAGGAAGACCCCGAGGUGUCUUAUGUCAAUGAUAUGCAGAAAGAUGAUCUUUGGACUGAGCUGAAGGCAAAUUUCACCCUACCGCCAGAGGAGGAUCCGGAGAAGCCAGUUAAAGAGCAAUUAAUCAAGUCUCGAUUUCUUAAGAAGAUGGCAGACCUAUUCAGGAGGUGGAAGAAUGAGCUGAAAACGUUUGUCGACAAAGAAGAGACACCAGAAUUCAUCGGGAAAUAUGAGAAGAUCAGAGAUCACUGGCGCGCAUUUGUGGCCCACAAGACAUCGGAAAAGAGUAAGAAGUUGUCAGCGACAAACAAGAAAAAUGCUGCGAAGAAGAAGCUUCACCAUCACACGGUGUCAGGUGGCUACCUCAAAGCCCGUCCUAAGUGGGCCAAGGCUGAGAAUGAUCUGCUUGAUAAAGGGAUCGAACCAGAGACAAUGAACUGGCCAAACCGUUGCCGGACUUGGUUCUUCGGGGCUGGCGAAACCUUGGACCCUGUAUCAGGGAAAUGCGUUUGGACGGACGAGCAAAUGAGAAUACUAGUCAAGAGGCUUCAGCACUAUAUCGAUGCAGCACACCAAGGGACGUUCGUUCCAGACAGAGAGAACGACAAGCUCACAAUGACCCUCAGGAAUCCUGAGCACCCUGGACGGACACGAGGCACGCUAGGCUCCGUUCCGUGGAAGGCUGGUUUUCCGGACACAGGCGGUUACAAAUGCUAG
RNAcentral lists this ribosomal RNA (1215 nucleotides) under Triticum aestivum (bread wheat). RNAcentral describes it as "partial small subunit ribosomal RNA". Lineage: Eukaryota; Viridiplantae; Streptophyta; Magnoliopsida; Poales; Poaceae. The record is from RNAcentral.